GGGGGGGGGGGGGGGGGGGGGAAGGGAGGCGAGGCGAGGGGGGGGGGCGGGGGUUGCACUGGGGCUCGAGGGGCGAAGGGGUGAGUAACACGUGGGGGGUCAGGCCGGUAAUUCGGGCUAAGCUUGGGAAAGUGGGUGUAAUACCGGGUAGUACACCGUUUUGGGUAUGGGGUGUGAAAGCGUUUGCGGUAUGGUGUGAGCUUGCGGCCUAUCAGCUUGUUGGUGGGGUAAUGGCCUACCAAGGCGUCGACGGGUAGCCGGCCUGAGAGGUUGUACGUCCACAUUGGGACUUAGAUACGGCCCAGACGCCUACGGGAGGCAGCAGGGGGGAAUAUUGCACAAUGGGCGCAAGCCUGAUGCAGCGACGCCGCGUGGGGGAUGAAGGCCUUCGGGUUGUAAACUCCUUUCGCUAGGGACGAAGCUUUUUUGUGACGGUACCUGGAGAAGAAGCACCGGCUAACUACGUG
This 467-nucleotide ribosomal RNA is filed under the name uncultured bacterium. RNAcentral describes it as "partial 16S ribosomal RNA". It matches the Rfam family "Bacterial small subunit ribosomal RNA", at positions 39 to 507 of the family's 1533-position model. The record is from RNAcentral.